CCCCCUUGCAGAGAGAACGUAAUGUGCAACGGUUGUCACUGGGCAUAGGGACGUCACUGCCCACCUAUCCUAGUUAUCGGCAAGAGUAGCUAUGGGGGAGGGGCAGCACUUUAGGCAAUGUUUCCUUUCCUUUUUGGGACUUCUGCAGUGCUGAGGAGGAGUUCCAUGCACCCUUAGCAGUGAAAGGGUUAAGCACUCUCUCAUCACAACAGACUAAUAAAUUCUGUAGGAUUAGGAGGAGUAUUCCACUUCACAGAUGAAUUAAAUAUGAGGAUAUUCAAAACUAGGAGCUAUCCAUCAUUCAGCGCUGAUCAAAUACAUCCAUUGCACUAAGCAUCCAAUUACGGUGAACCCAGCACAGAACCUCACGCGUUCCAAACCUCAGGUGUUUUCCAUUACAGCAGACAUCGUUACCACGGUAACGCAGCUGGCUUCCGUGAUGUGGCUCCAGAGCUCGCGGGACUUGUGGACGUCUGGGCGGAAGUGAGAUACGCGGGCGAGAGGAGACGCUCGAACAGUGAGUAUGCAUCGAGCGGUUGCCAUGGUGACGUGGCUCGCUCCCGCAACGUCACUUCCGGCCCCGCCGAGGCGUCAGUGAGCCGGGCGGAAGUCCUGAGCGGGCGGCCGGAGAGUAACGCUGCAGCAUGUGACUGAAUGGGGUCAGGGGAUUGUUGAAAACAAAUCUUCUAUUAUGGGAAAGUAAUACAGACACGCUUUCCCUUAUGACUAGGAAGCAGAUAAUGAAACGCUACCAAUAAAGAAAUCAGUAUGAAGCCAGAAUAGAGCACUCAGAUAAUGACAUGAUUGUCGCAGUAAUAAUGAGCGUGACACAGGCGACGCUGGAUGCUUUCACCGCAUAUUCCCAUUUAUACCGGAUUUCUAUGUUCUGACUGUUCUGUACAAUCUGCUAUACACACUAUAAUGUACCUACUACUGUCGUUACUAAUACCCCUUUCAUACAUACACCAAAAUACUCUGUAACAAGUCAUUAUUCUAGAUCGCAUUGUACUCUUCCACCCCACCCUGACUCCUCCCUGUUUUUUUCGUAACCCAUUUGUAAAUGUAAUAAUAAUAAUAAUAAUAAUAAUAAAAAAUGA
This is a long non-coding RNA of Pseudophryne corroboree (corroboree frog), 1097 nucleotides long. RefSeq lists it as uncharacterized. The record is from RefSeq and is a predicted model, not a curated record. The transcript is spliced from 3 exons. NCBI's taxonomy places the organism in Eukaryota, Metazoa, Chordata, Amphibia, Anura, Myobatrachidae.